UCAGAUUGAACGCUGGCGGCAGGCCUAACACAUGCAAGUCGAGCGGCAGCGGAAAGUAGCUUGCUACUUUGCCGGCGAGCGGCGGACGGGUGAGUAAUGUCUGGGGAUCUGCCUGAUGGAGGGGGAUAACUACUGGAAACGGUAGCUAAUACCGCAUAACGUCGCAAGACCAAAGCGGGGGACCUUCGGGCCUCGCGCCAUCAGAUGAACCCAGAUGGGAUUAGCUAGUAGGUGGGGUAAUGGCUCACCUAGGCGACGAUCCCUAGCUGGUCUGAGAGGAUGACCAGCCACACUGGAACUGAGACACGGUCCAGACUCCUACGGGAGGCAGCAGUGGGGAAUAUUGCACAAUGGGGGAAACCCUGAUGCAGCCAUGCCGCGUGUAUGAAGAAGGCCUUCGGGUUGUAAAGUACUUUCAGCGAGGAGGAAG
RNAcentral lists this ribosomal RNA (430 nucleotides) under Sodalis glossinidius. Its description in RNAcentral is "bacterial SSU rRNA". It matches the Rfam family "Bacterial small subunit ribosomal RNA", at positions 24 to 450 of the family's 1533-position model. The record is from RNAcentral. Lineage: Bacteria; Pseudomonadati; Pseudomonadota; Gammaproteobacteria; Enterobacterales; Bruguierivoracaceae.